RNAcentral lists this unclassified non-coding RNA (342 nucleotides) under soil metagenome. RNAcentral describes it as "partial contains 5.8S ribosomal RNA, internal transcribed spacer 2, and large subunit ribosomal RNA". The stretch from base 1 to 120 matches the Rfam family "5.8S ribosomal RNA", at positions 35 to 154 of the family's 154-position model. The record is from RNAcentral.
GAUGAAGAACGCAGUGAAAUGCGAUAAGUAAUGUGAAUUGCAGAAUUCAGUGAAUCAUCGAAUCUUUGAACGCACAUUGCGCCCGCCAGCAUUCUGGCGGGCAUGCCUGUUCGAGCGUCAUUUCAACCCUCGAGCCCCCCCGGGGGCCUCGGUGUUGGGGGACGGCACACCAGCCGCCCCCGAAAUGCAGUGGCGACCUCGCCGCAGCCUCCCCUGCGUAGUAGCACACACCUCGCACCGGAGCGCGGAGACGGUCACGCCGUAAAACGCCCAACUUCUUAGAGUUGACCUCGGAUCAGGUAGGAAUACCCGCUGAACUUAAGCAUAUCAAUAAGCGGAGGA